ACGAAGGAGCCCUUGGGUGGGCAGGUGUGGUGACUUCUCCUUGUACGGUUCAGAGCACCAGGAGCUGGGACAGACAAUGAUGUGCCUGGGAUGGAAAUGUCCGUCCUUGCCCCACACGGCUGCUCCACUCGUGCUGUUCAUCACAAGGCCUUUCCUCCUUUCCAUGAGCAGUGCACAUCUGGAAGGAAACCUCUAGGAAAGGCUUUACCCAGCGCUAGACCCAGCUGAGGUGCUGUGACAGCCUGAUGUGGGCGCUGGGACCCCACCCGGGACACUGCGAGAGAAAAUGCUGGAUGAGAAACACCUGAGCUCCCGUGCCCCGCCUGCCCUCGGCCCCGGGCACCGGAGGGGCUCGUCCUGCUGACGGGCACCAGGUGAUCCGAGUUCCCCAUUUGUGGGUGAUUCCCCGGAUUUUUGGGUGAUAAGAGGCGAAGCAGCAGUGCCUCUGUUUUCUUCCUGGUGACUACACACGGAUCUAUCCCUG
Molecule: long non-coding RNA, 484 nt
Organism: Corapipo altera (White-ruffed manakin)
Lineage: Eukaryota; Metazoa; Chordata; Aves; Passeriformes; Pipridae
Exons: 3
Source: RefSeq, a predicted model, not a curated record